CCUACGGGAGGCAGCAGUGAGGAAUAUUGGUCAAUGGACGAGAGUCUGAACCAGCCAAGUAGCGUGAAGGAUGACUGCCCUAUGGGUUGUAGACUUCUUUUAUAAAGGAAUAAAACGAGGCACGUGUGCCUUUUUGCAUGUACUUUAUGAAUAAGGAUCGGCUAACUCCGUGCCAGCAGCCGCGGUAAUACGGAGGAUCCGAGCGUUAUCCGGAUUUAUUGGGUUUAAAGGGUGCGUAGAUGGGUUGUUAAGUUAGUUGUGAAAGUUUGCGGCGCAACCGUAAAAUUGCAAUUGAUACUGGCAGGCUAGAGUACAGUUGAGGGAGGCGGAAUUCGUGGUGUAGCGGUGAAAUGCUUAGAUAUCACGAAGAACCCCGAUUGCGAAGGCAGCUUACUAAACUGUGACUGACAUUGAUGCUCGAAAGUGUGGGGAGCAAACAGGAUUAGAUACCCCAGUAGUC
RNAcentral lists this ribosomal RNA (460 nucleotides) under uncultured bacterium. RNAcentral describes it as "partial 16S ribosomal RNA". It matches the Rfam family "Bacterial small subunit ribosomal RNA", at positions 338 to 795 of the family's 1533-position model. The record is from RNAcentral.